Molecule: long non-coding RNA, 1159 nt
Organism: Vicia villosa (hairy vetch)
Lineage: Eukaryota; Viridiplantae; Streptophyta; Magnoliopsida; Fabales; Fabaceae
Exons: 5
Source: RefSeq, a predicted model, not a curated record
UUUCCCAUUUUUACGCUUCUGCAAAGAAAAACAGAAGAAGAGAACAAGACCAAAUUCUCAGCUCUCUCUUGCUUUACCUCUCUCACGAUUGCUCCCUGUGCUCGCGGUUUCGUGACGAACAACAACAAUAGUCGAAACCUUCUUUCGACCUUGGCUCACGGCGGCCAUGGAAGAAGCAAGAACGAACAUCCGAGUAAACACUCAACCAAUCUCUCUCGGUUCUCUCUUCACUCGCGGUAACAACAACAAAACAAUGCUUUUUCUUCUUUUUUUCUGUGAACAAACAGUAACUGUGCUUUUUCUCUCUAUUUUAACAACAACAACAACUUCUCAGUACCGUUCUAGGCUUUUUUCUGAGUUUAUGAACAACCUCAACAAACAGAAGCUUUUGGCAUCUUUUGAUUGAAGAAAAACUCAAGAUUUUCAAAUGAUACAAGCACAAUAUAUUUGUAGUAACUGAUAAAAGCAAUAUUGAGAGCAAAAGGGGUGAAGUCAACUUACCUGCGCAAGAGAUGUUUUUCCAGAUUUUGUUAAGGAAAGCCAAAGUUCAAAGCAACAACAAUAUUGAGACUGAGAGUGGAGAUGACUUACCUACGGCGAGGAGAUUUUCGCCGGAUUUAUUGCUGAGGCUUUUGAUGAAGGUGAUGCCAUAACACCUCUCUUUGAAAUUGCUUCAAGACUUGAAGAUGGACUUCAAGUUGGAACUCUCCACCAAGGUAUGAAGAAUUUCUUCUUCACUCUCUUCAAACCAUGGAACUUUGUAACUAGGAAUUCUCACUUCUCAAGUGGUUUUCUUUGGUUUGAAGAAUUGCUUCUUCUUGCCAAGAAACUUGAAAACUAUGAGAGAAAAGAGAGAAGUGAGAAAGCUAGUAGUAUAGUAGCUUUGGUGUCAUUUGCAAUGAAGUGAGGCCUUCUAUUUAUAGGAAAAGUUAAGGAUGUGUUUGGCAUUUGGUAAACUUGAUUGGCAAGUUUCAAUCAUUGCAAGAUAAGAAAAAGAAUAAGAAUAUUCUUUAUGAGAUAUUUCUCUUGCAAGUGGACAUGAAAUAUCUUUGAUUCCUUUUGUCUUGAAUUAUUUCUUUUUUUGAAUUAUUUCUUUUGUUGGAUUUUUACUAAUCUCACCCCUUUUUGUUUCUUUUUUCAUGUGACAUGAUCAUUCUUG